Molecule: long non-coding RNA, 1121 nt
Organism: Platichthys flesus (European flounder)
Lineage: Eukaryota; Metazoa; Chordata; Actinopteri; Pleuronectiformes; Pleuronectidae
Exons: 2
Source: RefSeq, a predicted model, not a curated record
UUAGAGUUCAGUUCUAUUGCAGAGACACACAGACACAAUUUAAAAUCCCAACAAAGCGGAGCAGGAGGAACGUGAGCAGAAGAUGGAGGCUCAGGUCACUGAGCCUGGAGACCUUCAUCCCUCUGGUGUUUCUAUCUGCUCAUCACUUCACAUGUGAACCUUUAGUUCUGUGUGAAGGUUGUGACGUCCAGUCUGCUCCACAGGAAGUGACGCUGUCUUCUGUCCUCUCUUUCAGACGCUGGAGGGACGGGUGUUGCUGUGGCUGUUGCUGUUGUUGUUACAUUUUUCUUGACUCUUCUUGUCGUUAGUGUUGUUAUUUACUUUUUGCGUAAAAAGAAAUCUCCCACUGCAGAAACACCUGAAGAAAUGAAACUUUCCCAAAGCAACAAUGAGACGUUCACACCGGCUUCAUGCAGCCACUGACAAGGUGACACAGGAAACAGGAAGUGAACUUCUCAAACUCCUUUUCAUUGGUUCAACAUGUAUUUACCUUUGACUCAAACACGAAUGAAAAGCUUCAGAGUGACGACCACACAACAAUGUUUAUUUAAAGAUAAUGAUGUCAUCAUGACGUCACUUCCACCACGUGAUGACACAUGAUUGGUUCUUGUGAAUAAGCUGAUUUUUCAAUAUAUGUAUAAAAGCUUCAGGUCGUAUCUAUCGUCCAAUAGGAAGCAGAGACUGUUGAAUGAUGCAUGAAGUCAUUUUCUGACCUUUUCUUCAGAAAGUGAAAUGAAACUGUGACAUCACAUCCUGGACACGUAUUUUGAAGGAGACACAGGAUGUUCCUCUCUGUUUCAUGAUCUCUCUGCUUGUGGUUCUUCUCUCAGCUGAACUUUGACUCAACCUCACGUCACUGAUCUCAGACCUGCUGCUCUGCUCUCAAUCAAUGUGAAUGUUCUGCAGCUAAAGUGAAAAUGUGAUGAGUCAGUGUUUAUUGGUGAAGGUGCUGAGUCGGGUCCAGUUCCAGUCUCAGCUGCUUCCUGUUGUCACUGUGAUGUUUGACCCGUCGCUGUCUGACUCUGACUUUGUCUUCAUGUUGUUACCUGAUGAUUCUGAGGAUUUCAGGCUGCUUCAUUAUUUCUGUUCAACACUUUGAAUAAAACGUGACAAACAUCAAA